GCGACGACCUAAGACAAAAGGCAAGGGUCAAUUAACUUUGCCUAGGCAACUACCCCUACGACGCUAGAUUAACGAUCGAACCUACAAACGACGACUCGUUACAACGAGAAAGGUCAAGACACGCAGCUAACCUCCCCCUAACUUAGGAAUACUACGUAGGACAACGUCGUAAUCCAAAAGACGUCGCAACCUCGAAGUUUUCGACUUAAACAUUUAUUCGUAGAAAACCCCCCCUCCCUCUCUUUUUACUUAGGAGGCGACAACGCUCCUAAACGCAUGAUGAGGUACCUCGCCUCACAAGAUAGCCACCCUCCUAGGACUCGCUCCUCGCCACCCCCUCUAGGAAGGUCGACCAAAUCUUAGCGAAUCGCGAAACGUCGCACAAUCCGCGUCGUAUAGAACGUUACAUUUGAACCCUCGCACAGCAGCAAUUAUCAGACGCUCGUGAGAGACGCACGGUCACCACUCCGCACCACGGACACUACUGCGGAGAGUCCUACAUUUAUUACGGGUAAAACGGCUUACAGCGUCCUUCAACUAGGAGGUGAGCUUAAAGGGCGCACCCUUCCACUCCGUUCCAUUAUGCCGGUACUGUUGGAGGCAGGGGCACAGAAAAUCAGGGUGGCAUGUGGAUUUUUCGAUCAGGAGCCGGUUCAUGUCCAUUCACAGUGCGAGACAAAGUCUCGCCAGUUUCUCUAGCGGUUCCAAUC
Molecule: ribosomal RNA, 710 nt
Filed under: uncultured bacterium
Lineage: Bacteria
Description: partial 16S ribosomal RNA
Source: RNAcentral